This 699-nucleotide ribosomal RNA is filed under the name uncultured bacterium. RNAcentral describes it as "bacterial SSU rRNA". It matches the Rfam family "Bacterial small subunit ribosomal RNA", at positions 34 to 764 of the family's 1533-position model. The record is from RNAcentral.
CGCUGGCGGCGCGCUUAACACAUGCAAGUCGCACGAGAAAGUGGAGCAAUCCAUGAGUACAGUGGCGUACGGGUGAGUAACACGUGGGUAAUCUACCUCUGAGUGGGGAAUAACCCUGGGAAACCGGGGCUAAUACCGCAUAUUCUCGAGAGAGGAAAGCAGCAAUGCGCUGAGAGAGGAGCCCGCGGCCGAUUAGCUAGUUGGCAGGAUAAAAGCCUACCAAGGCAUAGAUCGGUAGCCGGCCUGAGAGGGCACACGGCCACACUGGCACUGAAGCACGGGCCAGACUCCUACGGGAGGCAGCAGUGGGGAAUCUUGCACAAUGGGGGAAACCCUGAUGCAGCGACGCCGCGUGAGCGAUGAAGCCCCUCGGGGUGUAAAGCUCUUUCGGCAGGGAAGAUGAUGACGGUACCUGCAGAAGCAGCUGCGGCUAACUACGUGCCAGCAGCCGCGGUAAUACGUAGGCAGCGAGCGUUGUUCGGAGUUACUGGGCGUAAAGGGUGUGUAGGCGGUUGUUUAAGUUUGGUGUGAAAUCUCCCGGCUCAACUGGGAGGGUGCGCCGAAUACUGAAUGACUUCGAGUGCGGGAGAGGAGAGUGGAAUUCCUGGUGUAGCGGUGAAAUGCGUAGAUAUCAGGAGGAACACCGGCGGUGUAGACGGCUCUCUGGACCGUAACUGACGCUGAAACACGAAAGCGUGG